GACGAACGCUGGCGGCGUGCUUAACACAUGCAAGUCGAACGGAAAGGCCCUGCUUUUGUGGGGUGCUCGAGUGGCGAACGGGUGAGUAACACGUGAGUAACCUGCCCUUGACUUUGGGAUAACUUCAGGAAACUGGGGCUAAUACCGGAUAGGAGCUCCUGCUGCAUGGUGGGGGUUGGAAAGUUUCGGCGGUUGGGGAUGGACUCGCGGCUUAUCAGCUUAUUGGUGGGGUAGUGGCUUACCAAGGCUUUGACGGGUAGCCGGCCUGAGAGGGUGACCGGCCACAUUGGGACUGAGAUACGGCCCAGACUCCUACGGGAGGCAGCAGUGGGGAAUAUUGCACAAUGGGCGGAAGCCUGAUGCAGCAACGCCGCGUGCGGGAUGACGGCCUUCGGGUUGUAAACCGCUUUCGCAUGUGACGAAGCGUGAGGGACGGUAAUGGGUAAAGAAGCACCGGCUAACUACGU
Molecule: ribosomal RNA, 467 nt
Filed under: uncultured bacterium
Lineage: Bacteria
Description: partial 16S ribosomal RNA
Rfam family: Bacterial small subunit ribosomal RNA
Source: RNAcentral